This 78-nucleotide small nucleolar RNA is filed under the name Drosophila melanogaster (fruit fly). RNAcentral's name for it is "small nucleolar RNA Me18S-G642". Lineage: Eukaryota; Metazoa; Arthropoda; Insecta; Diptera; Drosophilidae. The record is from RNAcentral.
CAAUUAAUGAUAAAUAUUUUAUAAGGUGCGGAAAUAAAGUGAGGAAUAUCUUUUAAAUUCAAGUUCAAUUCUGAAAGC